AUGAAGGAGGGGUUCCUGCUGAGCGGCUCGUACAAUAAGAAGAUUUGCAUAUGGGAUCUCAAGGCCGGGAAUCGAGCCCCAGUUCUGGAUGCGCAACAGGUGUUUGAGGUCGCCGUUAAGGCCUCGAGCUGGCUGCGACCAAGCACGACCUCUAGCUCCUGCACCAGCAGUGCUACGCGGACGACAGAAUUCAGACGAUUCACAGACGACACAUACAUCCAGCCGGACAUGCGCAUGAAUGAGCAGGGCACCGGCCGCUGGAUUUUCAGGUCGUGCAUAGAUCGGGCAAAAGCAUCGUGUGUGGAGCAAUUUCGCUCCUGCACCGCGAUUGCAGUCGCGCGGCUGAUGGCCACGGGCUGCUCCACGCACGGACGACAAGCACGGUGUCCGCGAUCAAGAUCCUUCUCUACUGCAGGAGAACCUGAGAUGCGACAUCAACGUGGUGGUCAUAUAUCAGAAAGGCAAGUUCUUGUGAAAGGAAGGUCAAGAUCUCCGGCGGCAGGCCAACGGGCACCAUCUCGAGCCAUCGGCACGUGA
This 537-nucleotide ribosomal RNA is filed under the name Triticum aestivum (bread wheat). RNAcentral's name for it is "partial small subunit ribosomal RNA". The record is from RNAcentral. Lineage: Eukaryota; Viridiplantae; Streptophyta; Magnoliopsida; Poales; Poaceae.